RNAcentral lists this transfer RNA (58 nucleotides) under Diaphorina citri (Asian citrus psyllid). It matches the Rfam family "tRNA", at positions 8 to 63 of the family's 71-position model. Rfam says of the family: Transfer RNA (tRNA) molecules are approximately 80 nucleotides in length. The record is from Rfam by way of RNAcentral. Lineage: Eukaryota; Metazoa; Arthropoda; Insecta; Hemiptera; Psyllidae.
UAGCAUAGUUGGUAGUGCGUCUGCCUUGUAAGCGCUAGGCCGCGGGUUCGAUUCCCAC